RNAcentral lists this ribosomal RNA (497 nucleotides) under uncultured bacterium. RNAcentral describes it as "partial 16S ribosomal RNA". It matches the Rfam family "Bacterial small subunit ribosomal RNA", at positions 28 to 507 of the family's 1533-position model. The record is from RNAcentral.
GACGAACGCUGGCGGCGUGCCUAAUACAUGCAAGUAGAACGCUGAAGAGAGGAGCUUGCUCUUCUUGGAUGAGUUGCGAACGGGUGAGUAACGCGUAGGUAACCUGCCUGGUAGCGGGGGAUAACUAUUGGAAACGAUAGCUAAUACCGCAUAAAAUUGAUUAUUGCAUGAUAAUUAAUUGAAAGAUGCAACUGCAUCACUACCAGAUGGACCUGCGUUGUAUUAGCUAGUUGGUGAGGUAACGGCUCACCAAGGCGACGAUACAUAGCCGACCUGAGAGGGUGCUCGGCCACGCUGGGACUGGGACACGGCCCAGACUCCUACGAGAGGCAGCAGUAGGGAAUCUUCGGCAAUGGGGGGAACCCUGACCGAGCAACGCCGCGUGAGUGAAGAAGGUUUUCGGAUCGUAAAGCUCUGUUGUAAGAGAAGAACGGGUGUGAGAGUGGAAAGUUCACACUGUGACGGUAUCUUACCAGAAAGGGACGGCUAACUACGUG